RNAcentral lists this long non-coding RNA (1676 nucleotides) under Helianthus annuus (common sunflower). Its description in RNAcentral is "hypothetical non coding rna". Lineage: Eukaryota; Viridiplantae; Streptophyta; Magnoliopsida; Asterales; Asteraceae. The record is from RNAcentral.
UUGGUAAGUGUGUGUGUGUGCGCAGGAACGAUCAGAAGAACAGGGGGUUCUUUCAAAACCCUAAGCACAUGAAAUCCAGCAAAAUCAAGGAGAAAUCGAGCAAAGAAAUUAGGGCUUUAACUAAAAUCGUGAUCACCAAGCUAAGGGGAUCGGAAGUUUGACGCCUAACAAGCUAGGUGGAAGCUUGUGGAUGAAGCGGGUCAAACGGAGCGCGUACGGAAAGAAAGGAGUGGCAUGGAUGCAAGGUAAGUAUAGCUUACACUAGUCUUAUAUGUUAGGAUAUUCUCUUAUCGUAUUAGUUAUGAAUGAGAUAAAUACUUAAUUGAGGUAUGAUGUUCCGGCGUGUAAACGUACGGAACAAAGUAGUCAAUCAUGACAAGAAACCAUGAGGAUGGUUAAAAGGAGUUAAAUCGGUAAAUUGGUCAUGCGUUGACCAUAACUAUUGGUUUUGAAAGACACAGUAAAACAUAAACCAUGAUAGGCUAAAAAGUGUUAAGAAAUGAUUAAUAAGUGAAAUGACCGCACGAUGUAAACCGGAGCGAGUCAUGUAGAUGAGAUGGUAAUAAAUAUCAUCUCGUCAACAUAUUCGGUCACUUAGACCAAAUGGGUUAAAAGGUGAAGAUAUCACCCUUUGACAAUAACGACUAAUGAUUUUUGUCGAGUUAUAUUAUUUCAGGUGUAAAUGUCAAAUGGGUAUAGCAACGCUAUGAAGUCAAUAUAUUGAUCUGCGCCAGGUAUGUGAAAAAGGGUAACCCUCAUUUAGAACAUGUGGUUCAAAGAGUGUUAAAAGUAGUCAAGGUGAACAUUUGGUUACUUGAUAAGUAACCCAAAUGUUUUAGGUAAGGAACAUUGUAUUUGGAAAGCUUAAUGACUUUUCAAAUAAAAUCAUAGGUUAAAAGAGGGAUUACGGGUCAAAAUAAGCAUACGAGUGAAAACGGGUUUAAAUUGAGUAAUAAACCUGUGAUUAUAACCUAAUAUGGUAAAUAACCUUAAUUUGAAGUAGUGUACGUGAUAUAAAGGUUAAACAAGUAUGUUUGUUUGAUAAACGUAUAAACGGGUCAAAAUUUUGGUAAAAGAGUAAUAAGCCAAAGACUUAAAAGUCUUAAAUUUUAUUAAUUCGGAUGUUGGAUUUUAACUCCAUAUGAUGGAAGAUUAAAUUACAAUCAUGUAGGAAGAAACGGUAGAUCAAACGGAUAAGCGGUUUGAAAGAUACGAAAGUUUUCGUGUCGAAUAACGGCAAAAAUAGAGAAGCUGGAUGCAGAGUCCACCGUAAUUUACGGUCCCACCGUAAAUUACGGUGGAGAUGAAUUGGUUACGGUGCUAAUUGUCUGUUGUACGGUAGAAGAAUAGAAACCCAGGGGCCACCGUAAUUUACGGUCCCACCGUAAAUUACGGUGGAGAUUAUUUUUUUUAUAUAUAUUUUGUUUUCAUUUGAAAAUUAAUUGUUUCCCGGACAUCGUUCGGACAUGAUUUAAACCCCGUAUGACUAAAGCAUUUCAUGUUUAUGAAAUGUAGGUACACCUUGGGCGCCGGAAGACGAUCAAGCUCAGCGAAGAACCGAACACGAUAAUGAUACACGCUUCCGCACUUUGCUACGUUGUAAUUUUUAAACAACGAAUUCGAUCACGUUAUGUAGAAUAACUUAUGAUUUAUAAAAGUUUUAAUAAACCCGUAUU